GACGAACGCUGGCGGCGUGCUUAACACAUGCAAAUCGAACGGUAAGGCCCUUCGGGGUACACGAGUGGCGAACGGGUGAGUAACACGUGGGUGAUCUGCCCUGCACUUCGGGAUAAGCCAGGGAAGCUGGGUCUAAUACCGGAUAGGACUCCGGACUGCAUGGUCUGGGGUGGAAAGCUUUUGCGGUGUGGGAUGGGCCCGCGGCCUAUCAGCUUGUUGGUGGGGUGAUGGCCUACCAAGGCGACGACGGGUAGCCGGCCUGAGAGGGUGACCGGCCACACUGGGACUGAGAUACGGCCCAGACUCCUACGGGAGGCAGCAGUGGGGAAUAUUGCACAAUGGGCGCAAGCCUGAUGCAGCGACGCCGCGUGAGGGAUGACGGCCUUCGGGUUGUAAACCUCUUUCAGCAUCGACGAAGCGAAAGUGACGGUAGGUGCAGAAGAAGGACCGGCCAACUACGUGCCAGCCGCCGCCGUAA
This 478-nucleotide ribosomal RNA is filed under the name uncultured bacterium. Its description in RNAcentral is "partial 16S ribosomal RNA". It matches the Rfam family "Bacterial small subunit ribosomal RNA", at positions 28 to 523 of the family's 1533-position model. The record is from RNAcentral.